RNAcentral lists this ribosomal RNA (468 nucleotides) under uncultured bacterium. RNAcentral describes it as "partial 16S ribosomal RNA". It matches the Rfam family "Bacterial small subunit ribosomal RNA", at positions 28 to 507 of the family's 1533-position model. The record is from RNAcentral.
GACGAACGCUGGCGGCGUGCUUAACACAUGCAAGUCGAACGGAAAGGCCCGGCUUUUGUGGGGUGCUCGAGUGGCGAACGGGUGAGUAACACGUGAGUAACCUGCCCUUGACUUUGGGAUAACUUCAGGAAACUGGGGCUAAUACCGGAUAGGAGCUCCUGCUGCAUGGUGGGGGUUGGAAAGUUUCGGCGGUUGGGGAUGGACUCGCGGCUUAUCAGCUUGUUGGUGGGGUAGUGGCUUACCAAGGCUUUGACGGGUAGCCGGCCUGAGAGGGUGACCGGCGACAUUGGGACUGAGAUACGGCCCAGAAUCCUACGGGCGGCAGCAGUGGGGAAUAUUGCACAAUGGGCGGAAGCCUGAUGCAGCAACGCCGCGUGCGGGAUGACGGCCUUCGGGUUGUAAACCGCUUUCGCCUGUGACGAAGCGUGAGUGACGGUAAUGGGUAAAGAAGCACCGGCUAACUACGUG